Molecule: non-coding RNA, 88 nt
Organism: Aedes albopictus (Asian tiger mosquito)
Lineage: Eukaryota; Metazoa; Arthropoda; Insecta; Diptera; Culicidae
Source: Rfam
AUAUUUGAGAAGGAUUGUCUGAAGGAAUUUCUGAAGCAAAUUCUCGAAAAUAACCCUCGAACAAAAUCUUGAAAAUAAAGUUAGCAAA